Molecule: ribosomal RNA, 253 nt
Filed under: uncultured bacterium
Lineage: Bacteria
Description: partial 16S ribosomal RNA
Rfam family: Bacterial small subunit ribosomal RNA
Source: RNAcentral
GACGUAGGGCGCGAGCGUUGUCCGGAUUUACUGGGCGUAAAGCGCACGUAGGCGGCUUUCUAAGUCGGGGGUGAAAUCCUGGAGCUCAACUCCAGAACUGCCUUCGAUACUGGAGAGCUUGAGUCCGGGAGAGGUGAGUGGAACUGCGAGUGUAGAGGUGAAAUUCGUAGAUAUUCGCAAGAACACCAGUGGCGAAGGCGGCGCACUGGCCCGGUACUGACGCUGAGGUGCGAAAGCGUGGGGAGCAAACAGG